GACGAACGCUGGCGGCGUGCUUAACACAUGCAAGUCGAACGGAAAGGCCCUGCUUUUGUGGGGUGCACGAGUGGCGAACGGGUGAGUAACACGUGAGUAACCUGCCCUUGACUUUGGGAUAACUUCAGGAAACUGGGGCUAAUACCGGAUAGGAGCUCCUGCUGCAUGGUGGUGGUUGGAAAGUUUCGGCGGUUGGGGAUGGACUCGCGGCUUAUCAGCUUGUUGGUGGGGUAGUGGCUUACCAAGGCUUUGACGGGUAGCCGGCCUGAGAGGGUUACCGGCCACAUUGGGACUGAGAUACGGCCCAGACUCCUACGGGAGGCAGCAGUGGGGAAUAUUGCACAAUGGGCGGAAGCCUGAUGCAGCAACGCCGCGUGCGGGAUGACGGCCUUCGGGUUGUAAACCGCUUUCGCCUGUGACGAAGCGUGAGUGACGGUAAUGGGUAAAGAAGCACCGGCUAACUACGUG
This 468-nucleotide ribosomal RNA is filed under the name uncultured bacterium. Its description in RNAcentral is "partial 16S ribosomal RNA". It matches the Rfam family "Bacterial small subunit ribosomal RNA", at positions 28 to 507 of the family's 1533-position model. The record is from RNAcentral.